UUUUUUUUUUUUUUUUCUGUUGCACUAGAGGAUGAAAUCUGGCAGAAAAUAAACCCAGUUGCAUUCCAGCUGGUACUCAGAGAUUAGAGUGGCUGGAUACGGUUGGGCUUCAUUUCUGAUUAUGACCAAUUUGGCUCUGUAAGUCUGAUUUCACUCAGUAAGGACUUGCACAAUUGCUGAUUCAAGAGUAGUGUGGUUUACUGAAGCACCAGAUUAUUCAUGUUCUGAAUUGCUGCUGUUAAAUGUACUUACCCUGUUAGCACUAAAUAUACUGAGGCCAAUGACUAACUGCACUCUGUUCGCUAAGCUCAACUUCACCCUUUAUUAAGCUUAGUUUCACCUGGGUGUGCUCUGAUGCUGUCAGAAGCACAGAUCACAGGAUAGAGUAAUAAAAUAUAAAGUUCCACCAAGUGUCAUUCCAUGAUCAGGUGGAGUUUGAGUAACUUUGGUCACAUCUGGGAAGCACGUGCAGGUUUUCCUUCAUUAACAUAUGACAGGGCAGCAAAUGCCACUGGUUUGGAAAAGCGAUAUGUAUUUUUGAGCUAAUAAAGCAAAGUUCAGGUUUCAAGCACCACCUGGGUUCUUUCUUCGGCUUAGUUCCCAUUGUAUUAAACAGAGUAUGGCCACAACACCUCUGUGCCACUCCAGUCUUUGUUUUCUGCCUCUGUCAGGGCAGCACACCAAGCUCCCUCAGUGUCCCUGCUCCUGGGGCUGCAGUUUGUUUCUGGUGAACAGUUGCUCACAUAGAUAUGUGUCCUUGCUGAACUUUUUAUUUGCGUAUUUCUCAUAGGAGAUGAUCAUCCCAGAAACCCACUAGAGUUCCAUAGUGAAAAUUAAACAAGUUGGGAACAGCAUAAGAAAAACCUUCUCCCAACUUCACCAAUUUCCUGAGCAGAAAACCAUGUAAGAGUUUCAAACACUCUUGAAGGUCAAAUGUCAUGGUUCCAUCUUAGCUAAAACAGAUAAUAAUUUCAGGAAUUUCUAGAUAUGUCUGUAUAUGGAUUGUACUUGGAUAAUUAAAUGUCUGAGACUCUUUGCUUGCUAAUGGAAGUUUUUCCAAAUUUAACAUAAGAAAUCAUUUCUGCUCCACCACCUCUAUCCCCACCACCAAGGGCUAGUUUGAUCAAUUAAAGAAAUUUGUCAGCAGUAAACUGAUUACAAUGCCUUUGACACUUUUGGAGGAGGAGAAGGAAGAAGGUGGUCAAAUACCAUCAAUUAACAGCAUUUGGAAUUGAUAAUGCAAAAUGUUAAUCACAUUCCUUCUCUGUAGAGCAUCUGGAUUAGUCAAGACAGCCAAAUAUAAACUCUUUUCUUAGCUUGAAAGUGGCUCAUUACUAGUUUAGUAUACCUAGAAAUUAUCUAGGAGAUAAGCCAGUAUUUUUAUACAAGACUUCUUUUCCUUCCCUGAGGCCUUAAAUUUGACACUCAUUAAGCUGCAGAUACCUUUGUGACAAGAUUGAUACACAGAUAAAAAAGUAAGAGGGAAGAGUUUGACUUCGGUGCUUCAGCAUGGAGUGCAUGAGUUCCUACAGUUCAAGGAAAAUUACAUAUACAGUUUUUAGAUUUUCUUCCUCUAAAACUUUUCCAUUUUAGAAAGAUUUGUUUGUGUGAUCUAAUACCUAUCUAUAUACUGCCUAGAUACACAGGCUAAAUCUGUGCUGUCAGUAAACACAACACUAAGCACCCAAAAUGAGAUUGCUCUAACCUUUCUGUUACAAAUUAUUUACUGAUCUUUUGGAACAGAUCCCAUAACUCGCCUUAAAGCAUGCUAAUUUUGAAAUGUUCUGGGUAACAGUCCUUCAGAGUAAAUACCCAUUGCAUUCCCAAAUGGCUGCCUGCAAGAGCAGCUCCCUUUCUUCUUGAGGAAGGGCUGCAGAUCUCCAAAAAAACUUCCAAGCUUCUGCUGGUUCCUCCAUCAACAGAAUGACCAUCUCUAGCAGCCCAUAAUGUGUCUCAUUGUCUCAGCCCACAGUGCCAGCCUUAGGCUAUUUCUGUUACCUUAUCUAUUUGAGAUCAAAACCUCCACCUCUAAGAACAGCAACUUCCUCCUCUGGCCCACAUCCAAUACCAGGACAAGGACUGGGGAGACAAAAAGUAAAACUUGUGGGAGGAAAGAGAAUGGUAUUUCUACUUCUACUUUCUCUCUUGCUUGGAAUUGCAGCCGACUUGGCAAUAUGUGCACGGAGAAGUUUUACAAAAUUCCCUUUUCCUCAGAGCA
Taeniopygia guttata (zebra finch) is the source of this 2218-nucleotide long non-coding RNA. NCBI's taxonomy places the organism in Eukaryota, Metazoa, Chordata, Aves, Passeriformes, Estrildidae. The record is from Ensembl.